This 7699-nucleotide long non-coding RNA is filed under the name Brachypodium distachyon (stiff brome). RNAcentral describes it as "long non-coding RNA (BDIS_LNC002154)". The record is from RNAcentral. Lineage: Eukaryota; Viridiplantae; Streptophyta; Magnoliopsida; Poales; Poaceae.
AAAGAUAUCACGAAUUAAAGUUGAAUCCGAUUCGGGUCCGAGCUGUCAGGAGACCCGAAUUUGUUUUAAUCACCCAGGCCGCAUCCGGAGUCCAAAUCAAGCAAACAAGUACUUGUUGGAAAGGUAAUUACAAGACCUUUCCAACGGAUCUGGCCCCAUCAAGAGAUUCGACUCGUGCUGACCGUGGCGGACAAAACAAGCUGACGGAUCUGUUUUUCUGUUUCCUAAAGAGUUGUAGUUUGUUAGGAAAGUUAGAGAUAGAGUUGGAUUUCGGACUCCUUAUUCAAGGUGGACGAAAAUAUCUCUCCCUCCUCCUUUAUAUACCCCAUGAGCCCCCCUAAGGAGCCUUGGGUUUUGUUUAGUUAAAAGUUAGCCAUUGCUACUACUUCGUGUAAUCGCGUGUGUCGGUUAGACCACCUGUUUUACCGCUUUCGGAACCCCAACUUAUCGUCUCGUUGAGACAUUGGUUUGAUAUAGUAUAUUCGCAAUUUUAGAUUGCAUCCGCUAUUUAUCUUGUUCUUGCUUGUUCUUCGAUUGUUUGCAGGAACAAAGACCUUCGUGGUCAGGUUGAUCGUGCCCCCGCGUGAUCAAUAACCCUCUGGAGUUGGUGUAUCGAUCGCUAAGGCGCUGCCUCCUAGGCCGUAGUCGGAUCGUCAACGUCACCUCCUACCCAAAUCGAGAGUUACCAAUCUCAUCGAAAGAUCGGGCCACCCGCACCCGUAUCACGUGGUAUCAGAGCCAGGUUGCUCGGUGAGAUUUUUCCAGUUUAUCCCUAGUUUAGAUCUGUUUUACCUAUCGUCCAGAAAAAGCCAAACAAAAAUUAGAAUUAGUUACCUUGUCCUAGAACCAAUCUGAGCCUUGCAAUUUUCACUUUAGUAUUUGCAUUGUUGAAUCUUUGCUGCAUUAAUCGUGUCGAGUUGCUGGAUUUGAUUGGAUCGUUUUUCAGAUUUUUUCUACUAGAUCGAACUUGCUUUUGGUUUUCUUGUUCUUCGUGUGACGCAGGUUUCCUUCAUCAAUCUUCCGCCGCCAAACUUCCUGCCACACCACCCCCAUAAUCUCCCGCCGCCACCAUAUCUUACACCGAGUCUCUCAUCGAGUCCUACACCGAGUCCCUCUUGGAGUCCUACACCGAGUCCCUCAUCGAGUCCUACACCGAGUCCCUCUUGGAGUCCUACACCGAGUCCCUCAUCGAGUCCUACACCGAGUCCCUCAUCGAGUCCUACACCCAGUCCCUCUUCGAGUCCUACACCGAGUCCCUCGUCGAGUCCUACACCGUGUCCUACAUCGAGUUCUACAUUGAGUCGGCAAGUUAUAGUUUUCAGCCGCAAGUUCGAGUCCGAGUCUAAUCAAGAGUGCUUUUGGAAAGUUUUCAUAAUAGAUCGAAUUUUGUUUAGAGAUCAAGUUGUUCGGAAAGUUGUCAAAAAAAAAAGGAAAGAAAAAAAAAACGAAAAAAAAAAAGAGAAAGAGUUCGAGUCAGUUUCGGACCCGAGUCCGAGUAGAAUUUUAGUUUCGGGUGGGUUUGACCCGUGUUCAGUAAAACGGGCGUAUCUUUUGCGUAUCAACUCGGAUUUGGACGUUCUCAGACUUUUUGGAAAGCUCACGACGAGGCGCAUCAGGAAAUAUCCAUGGCUUUGCCCUGCACUUUGACCCUCAAAUUCGGUUUGUAAGGUGGACUUUCGGAGCUUCCAAGUUUCUGCAUCCGUUUUCCGGCGUCGCUGCAGCCCGGUGUUUCUCAGUUUCCUCCACCGUCCGACAUCCGUUUUCAGUGAUCUUGCCCUUGCUAGAAAUCUUGUGUCGAUACGCUUCUAACCCAUAUUUUUCCAUAUUUUUCUGAAAUUUUCUUACUACAGUCUUUGCUGUUCUUCGACAGACCGACGUACAUUUUUCCGGUCCUUCUUUUGCGUGAGUUUCUGGGGUUAAAAAAAAAAGAAAAAAAAAAGAAGAAGAAAAGAAUAAGAAGCCAAACAGAAGGCCACAAAAAGAAAAAAAAAGAAAAAAAAAUCCCAGGGAUUUACUUGUUGUGCCAUCUUUUGAUCUAUCUAUUCCUACCUUCUGCAGUAUCUAGGCUUAGAUUAUUUCUGUAAUUCGUUCUUAUCGACUCCAGCAGCUAGGACUAGCAUUAUUGAGCAUAUUUUCAACUUUGCAUUGCUGAUUUGAUUAUUUGCUAUUCCUUGCUACUCACAAAAGCCUCCAAGCUCCACAGAUUCUACACCUAGGUUGGUUUGUUACCGAGGCAUCGAUACAUUUAAUCUUCGGAGGGCUUGGUCACGCCGCUGGCCAUCACCUUCCUGUUUUGCAUGGUAAGAACUUGAUUUUUAGCUUGAGAGUUGUGCGACUUGUAGCCACAUCCUAGUAGUUGAUACGAACAUAUUACUGUGAUUUGUUUCUUGUUUUCUACUAACCAUGACAGGACUUACACGAAGCAUGGCAACUAGACCGAUGCUAUCCCGUGACCGUGAUGAGUGCUUUUCACCACGGCCAUCCUCCACGUCUCUUGUUGAUAAUGCCACGGCAACGGUACAAAACAAUCCUUCUAAUACAAUUAAAUUGUGUGUACCUUUCUUUGAGGGGGAAAAUGAUGCUGAAACGUAUAUAGAUUGGGAGCUAGCUUUAACUGCACAAUUCACAUGCUUCCAUGUACUUGAUAGUCGCAAGGUUCAAAUUGCUAGUAGUAAAUUUACAUUUGCUGCUUUAUCUUGGUGGAAUGAGAUAGUUAGAGAAAAGAAAAUUCCCCACACUUGGGUUGAUAUGAAGAAAAUCAUGAGAAUAAUAUGUCCCUUUUAGUUAUGCUUUUAACUUGCGUUCAAAAUUAUGACGUUUGGCACAAGAUGAUAAAACUGUUGAUGAUUACUACAAUGAGUUCCAAAUUAUAACCUUGCGAUCUGGUUUAGAUGAAACCGAACAAAGAAAAAUGGAUAGGUUUUAUUGUGGGCUUAACUUUGAUAUUUCUUACAUGAUUGAAUAUGGAAAAUACGACUCUCUUUUGUGUUUGCUUAAUCUUGCUCGUAAAGUUGAGAGGAAAUUACAGCGAGGGUCUACUACAAAUGAGUCGAGCCCACAAGGUAGUGAUACAGAGGAUUGUGUUGCUGAACUAAAAAGGGCAUGUGAUGAAAUAAAUGUGAUACCUGUUGAAUUUUCUGCACCAUGUGAAAUUAUUGUCGUACAUGGUGAUUCAAGUGCACCUACUGCUGAAAUUAAUUCUUCUAAUGAUUUGAGUGCACAAAUUAAUUUUGAUAUUGAUGAGAACGAAUCAUGUGAGGAAAUAACUAAUGUUUUGGGAGAAGCAAGUGAGAUAGAUAAAUUUGAUUUAGGUUGUGUCGAGUUGAUUAGACAUGGAGUGAUUGAUAAAGAUCCACCUAUUAAUUCUUUGUGUUAUAUUACACUUGAUACACCUAUAUAUUUGUCACAUGCAAUGGAUAAAGUUUCUGAGUUAACAAUUUCAAAAUCUUUUGCUAAUGCCCAUGCAUACACUAUUCAAUUAAUUGGAGAACAUGAUGUCAACAAUAAAGUUUUGGUGCAUCAGAUUUGCAUUGCUUGUGAUAACUUUCUUGAUUUGAGAGAAAAUAAUAUGUUGCAUAUGCUUAACCAUUUUGAUAUGACCUCCAAUAUUGGUGUUGAUUAUUUGCCAAUUAGUUCUUUACACGAUUGUUUGAAUAUUAGUGCUUUGACAUGCUCUAAAUUUCAGCAUCUUGUAAUAACUAAUUUGGGUAACAUUAUUAAUUAUUAUUCUCCAGUGUUGGGAUGGUAUAAUGGUGAGCGGUGCAAACCAAAUACAAGAUAUUGUUUCACUUAUAUAUGCAAAACAUAUUGUCAAUCUUCUUGCUGGAAUGAUAUUCAUGAUGAUUGUGUGACUAAUUAUCUCAUGAGAUUGUGUUAUAAAACAUUAAUUGUGCAACAUGGGAGUGGAGUUAAAAAUAACGAUAUAUACAUAUACCAUGUGCAUACCUUGUCUCUUUUGUUAGCAUAUUUUCAGCAUAAACGACGCCGAGGACGGCUUUCCUUUCAAGAAAGGGAGGAUGAUAUGGACAUGCUAACCAUGGAUACGACCAUUAGAACCCUAAUUGUUGGUGUCUCUAAAGUUAUAAUCAGGUGAAUUCAAUUACAAAAUGUUUUCAAUAUGUUACUUGCAAAGAGGCGGAGCUACUAUCUUGUGUAAUCUUAUUAUGUAGGCAUCUUAUUGAACUUUACAAGUCCAAAGUGAAGAUGAAGUGUUAUAGCCUGCAAAGGGAGAUUCAAAGUGAAGCCUAUCAAGUGUACUUUCCAACAAAUCAAACGGCACAUGAUUCGGAGCUUGCUAGAGAAAGAUAUCACGAAUUAAAGUUGAAUCCGAUUCGGGUCCGAGCUGUCAGGAGACCCGAAUUUGUUUUAAUCACCCAGGCCGCAUCCGGAGUCCAAAUCAAGCAAACAAGUACUUGUUGGAAAGGUAAUUACAAGACCUUUCCAACGGAUCUGGCCCCAUCAAGAGAUUCGACUCGUGCUGACCGUGGCGGACAAAACAAGCUGACGGAUCUGUUUUUCUGUUAGCUAAAGAGUUGUAGUUUGUUAGGAAAGUUAGAGAUAGAGUUGGAUUUCGGACUCCUUAUUCAAGGUGGACGAAAAUAUCUCUCCCUCCUCCUUUAUAUACCCCAUGAGCCCCCUAAGGAGCCUUGGGUUUUGUUUAGUUAAAAGUUAGCCAUUGCUACUACUUCGUGUAAUCGCGUGUGUCGGUUAGACCACCUGUUUUACCGCUUUCGGAACCCCAACUUAUCGUCUCGUUGAGACAUUGGUUUGAUAUAGUAUAUUCGCAAUUUUAGAUUGCAUCCGCUAUUUAUCCGCUAUUUAUACCCCAUGAGCCCCCCUAUGGAGCCUUGGGUUUUGAUUAGAUAAAGUUUAGCCUUUGCUACUUUCGUGUAAUCGCGUGUGUCGGUUAGACCACCUAUUUUACCGUCAUCAAGACUCCAACUAUAUUGAGUAUUCAGAUUCGUGAACCUUCAUAUCUCCUAUUCGCAAUUUCAGAUUGCUUUUCAUCUUGUUCUUGCUUGUUCUUCGAUUGCUUGCAGGAACAAAGACCUUCGUGGUCAGGUUGAUCGUGCCCCCGCGUGAUCAAUAACCCUCUGGAGUUGGUGUAUCGAUUGCUAAGGCGCUGCCUCCUAGGCCGUAGUUGGAUCGUCAACGUCACCUCCUACCCAAAUCGAGAGUUACCAAUCUCAUCGAAAGAUCGGGCCACCCGCACCCGUAUCACCUGUUCUAUUUGUGGAAAAGAAGGACAAGAGCCAACGGAUGUGCAUAGAUUAUCGUUCACUAAAUGAGGUGAUGAUAAAGAAAAAAUACCCCUUACCUAUAAUCAAUGAUCUAUUCGAUCAAUUGAAAGGAGCCUGUGUAUUCUCAAAGAUCGAUCUUCGAUCGGGUUAUUUUCAGUUAAAGAUCCGAGAAGCGGAUAUACCCAAGACAGCCUUUACCACUAGAUAUGGCCUGUAUGAGUAUACGGUGAUGCCUUUUGGAUUGACCAACGCACCGGCAUACUUUAUGAAUAUGAUGAAUAAAGUGUUCAUGGAAUAUUUGGACAAGUUUGUCGUAGUGUUCAUCGACGACAUUUUGAUUUACUCGAAGAGCAAAGAAGAACAUGAAGUACAUUUGCGUCUGAUUAUGGAAAAGCUCAGAGAACACAAGCUUUAUGCCAAAUUCAGCAAGUGUGAAUUUUGGUUGUCCGAAGUAGGUUUCUUGGGACACAUAGUGUCAGGAGACGGAGUUGCUGUUGACCCAGCUAAAGUAGCAGCGGUAACAGAAUGGGAAGCCUCUAAGAACGUCGGUGAUGUUCGCAGUUUCUUAGGACUUGCUGGAUGGAUACUAUAGGAGGUUCAUUGAGAAUUUUUCCAAGAUAGCAAAACCCAUGACUGAACUUUUGAAGAAAGAGAAGAAAUUUGAGUGGUCUGAUAAGUGUGAAGAAAGUUUUCAAGAAUUGAAGAAGAGAUUACUGUCUGCACCCAUCCUUGUUUUACCCAACUUGCUAGAAGAUUUCGAAGUGUACUGUGACGCCUCGCGUCUAAAAUUGGGCUGUGUUUUGAUGCAAGAAGGAAGAGUUGUGGCAUACGCCUCACGACAACUUAAGAGUCACGAAGGAAAUUACCCCACUCAUGAUUUGGAAGUAGCAUCUGUAGUGCACGCACUAAAAACUUGGAGGCACUAUCUCAUGGGAAAGCAUUGUGAAUUAUUCACCGAUCACAAGAGCUUGAAAUAUAUAUUCACGCAGAAGGAAUUGAACUUGAGACCAAGAAGAUGGUUAGAGUUAAUCAAGAAUUAUAAUUUGAAUCUGCAAUACCACCCAGGCAAGGCUAAUGUAGUAGCCGACGCUUUAAGCCGUAAAGGCUAUGUCAAUGGUCUUACAGCUGGAGAGUUACCCUCCGAGUUGUGCGAACAAUUCAAGGACUUCAGAUUGGAGAUAGUCCUGGAAGGUUAUCUGGCUAACUUGGAAGUACAACCCACCUUGUUGGACAGAAUUAGAGAAGCCCAGAAAGGCGACUCCGAAAUUAAGUAGAUAAAGGAUAAUAUGGUUGCCGGAAAGGCGAAAUGAUUCAUUGAGGAUGACCAAGGUACCAUAUGGUUUGAGAAAUGUAUUUGUGUACCACAGGACCCUGAGAUCAGAAAGUUUAAUACUUCAAGAGGCUCACGAUUCACCGUACUCGAUUCACCCUGGGAACACAAAAAAGUACAUGGACUUGAAAGAAAGAUUUUGGUGGACAGGGUUGAAGCGAGAUAUCGCUGAGUCUAUUGCUCUAUGUGAUGUAUGUAACAAAGUCAAGGCUGAACAUCAGAAACCAGCUGGAGUACUACGACCAUUGCCAGUGCCAAACUGGAAAUGGGAUAAAGUAGGCAUGGAUUUCAUCACCGGCUUGCCGAGGACAAGGUCUGGUUAUGAUUCGAUAUGGGUAGUAGUUGACCGUUUGACAAGGGUUGCUCAUUUCAUACCUGUGAAGACCACUUAUACAAGUGCUCAGUUGGCCAAACGCUACAUGCCUAGAAUUGUGUGCCUACAUGUUGAUAUGGACAUGCUAACCAUGGAUACGACCAUUAAAACCCUAAUUGUUGGUGUCUCUAAUAACAAUUAUAAUCAGGUGAAUUCAAUUACAAAAUGUUUUCAAUAUGUUACUUGCAAAGAGGCGGAGCUACUAUCUUUACAAGUCCAAAGUGAAGAUGAAGUGUGAUAGCCUGCAAAGGGAGAUUCAAAGUGAAGCCUAUCAAGUCUACUUUCCAACAAAUCAAACUGCACAUGAUUCGGAGCUUGCUAGAGAAAGAUAUCACGAAUUAAAGUUGAAUCCGAUUCGGGUCCGAGCUGUCAGGAGACCCGAAUUUGUUUUAAUCACCCAGACCGCAUCCAGAGUCCAAAUCAAGCAAACAAGUACUUGUUGGAAAGGUAAUUACAAGUCCUUUCCAACGGAUCUAGCCCCAUCAAGAGAUUCGACUUGUGCUGACUGUGGCGGACAAAACAAGCUGACGGAUCUGUUUUUCUGUUUCUUAAAGAGUUGUAGUUUGUUAGGAAAGUUAGAGAUAGAGUUGGAUUUCGGCCUCCUUACUCAAGGUGGACGAAAAUAUCUCUCCCUCCUCCUUUAUAUACCCCAUGAGCCCCCUAAGGAGCCUUGGGUUUUGAUUAGAUAAAGUUUAGCCAUCUUUGCUACUUUCGUGUAAUCGUGUGUGUCGGUUAGACCACCUGUUUUACCGUCGU